GAUGAACGCUGGCGGCGUGCCUAAUACAUGCAAGUCGAGCGAACAGACGAGGAGCUUGCUCCUCUGACGUUAGCGGCGGACGGGUGAGUAACACGUGGAUAACCUACCUAUAAGACUGGGAUAACUUCGGGAAACCGUAGCUAAUACCGGAUAAUAUAUUGAACCGCAUGGUUCAAUAGUGAAAGACGGCUUUGCUGUCUCUUAUAGAUGGAUCCGCGCCGCAUUAGCUAGUUGGUAAGGUAACGGCUUACCAAGGCAACGAUGCGUAGCCGACCUGAGAGGGUGAUCGGCCACACUGGAACUGAGACACGGUCCAGACUCCUACGGGAGGCAGCAGUAGGGAAUCUUCCGCAAUGGGCGAAAGCUUGACGGAGCAACGCCGCGUGAGUGAUGAAGGUCUUCGGAUCGUAAAACUCUGUUAUUAGGGAAGAACAAAUGUGUAAGUAACUAUGCACGUCUUGACGGUACCUAAUCAGAAAGCCACGGCUAACUACGUG
Molecule: ribosomal RNA, 497 nt
Filed under: uncultured bacterium
Lineage: Bacteria
Description: partial 16S ribosomal RNA
Rfam family: Bacterial small subunit ribosomal RNA
Source: RNAcentral